GAGAGAGAGAGAGAGACAGAGAGGGAGUAAAGCUGGUGAUGGGUUGAGUGUGAGAGAGAGAGAGAGAGGGUGUGUGUGUUUAUAGAGGAGGGAAAGAGUGAGAAAGUCCGCUGAAGGGGGCGAUGAAAGCAAAGUUUCGUGCAAGAAAGAUGGCUUCUUCCGGGGGUGGUUGGGAGAGACGUUGAGAGAGACUCCAAAGUUCGGAGAGCAAGAGGCGUUU
Long non-coding RNA from Rhodamnia argentea, 220 nucleotides. RefSeq lists it as uncharacterized. The transcript is spliced from 3 exons. The record is from RefSeq and is a predicted model, not a curated record. NCBI's taxonomy places the organism in Eukaryota, Viridiplantae, Streptophyta, Magnoliopsida, Myrtales, Myrtaceae.